CAUGAAUUUUUGACUCCUCUAUCAUGGCAUAUGGGGUGGCUUCCUUUUAUAUGGCAGACUAGGUCAUAAGACCUAGUCUAACAAGGAGUCCUUGGGGCGUCCAACUCUUAGACGCCCCCUAUCUCAUUUAUUUUAUAGAUAGCAUAAAAAUAACCAUAAAAAGGGCAACAAAAAGGAGGAUAAACAUGGGAGAAGUUGGUGCA
This 203-nucleotide long non-coding RNA is filed under the name Elaeis guineensis (African oil palm). Its description in RNAcentral is "long non-coding RNA (EGUI_LNC020099)". The record is from RNAcentral. Lineage: Eukaryota; Viridiplantae; Streptophyta; Magnoliopsida; Arecales; Arecaceae.